GAAGCUUGCUUCUCUGCUGACGAGCGGCGGACGGGUGAGUAAUGUAUGGGGAUCUGCCUGAUGGCGGGGGAUAACUACUGGAAACGGUAGCUAAUACCGCAUAAUGUCUUCGGACCAAAGCGGGGGACCUCCGGGCCUCGCGCCAUCAGAUGAACCCAUAUGGGAUUAGCUAGUAGGUGAGGUAACGGCUUACCUAGGCGACGAUCCCUAGCUGGUCUGAGAGGAUGAUCAGCCACACUGGGACUGAGACACGG
This 254-nucleotide ribosomal RNA is filed under the name Salmonella enterica subsp. enterica serovar Infantis. Its description in RNAcentral is "partial 16S ribosomal RNA". It matches the Rfam family "Bacterial small subunit ribosomal RNA", at positions 75 to 329 of the family's 1533-position model. The record is from RNAcentral. Lineage: Bacteria; Pseudomonadati; Pseudomonadota; Gammaproteobacteria; Enterobacterales; Enterobacteriaceae.